AUUGAACGCUGGCGGCAGGCUUAACACAUGCAAGUCGAGCGGGGGAAGGUAGCUUGCUACCGGACCUAGCGGCGGACGGGUGAGUAAUGCUUAGGAAUCUGCCUAUUAGUGGGGGACAACAUCUCGAAAGGGAUGCUAAUACCGCAUACGUCCUACGGGAGAAAGCAGGGGAUCUUCGGACCUUGCGCUAAUAGAUGAGACUAAGUCGGAUUAGCUAGUUGGUGGGGUAAAGGCCUACCAAGGCGACGAUCUGUAGCGGGUCUGAGAGGAUGAUCCGCCACACUGGGACUGAGACACGGCCCAGACUCCUACGGGAGGCAGCAGUGGGGAAUAUUGGACAAUGGGGGGAACCCUGAUUCAGCCAUGCCGCGUGUGUGAAGAAGGCCUUAUGGUUGUAAAGCACUUUAAGCGAGGAGGAGGCUACUCUAGUUAAUACCUAGGGAUAGUGGACGUUACCCGCAGAAUAAGCACCGGCUAACUCUGUGCCAGCCGCCGCAGUAA
Molecule: ribosomal RNA, 501 nt
Filed under: uncultured bacterium
Lineage: Bacteria
Description: partial 16S ribosomal RNA
Rfam family: Bacterial small subunit ribosomal RNA
Source: RNAcentral